This 585-nucleotide ribosomal RNA is filed under the name uncultured bacterium. RNAcentral describes it as "bacterial SSU rRNA". It matches the Rfam family "Bacterial small subunit ribosomal RNA", at positions 339 to 917 of the family's 1533-position model. The record is from RNAcentral.
CUACGGGAGGCAGCAGUAGGGAAUUUUGGACAAUGGGCGCAAGCCUGAUCCAGCAAUGCCGCGUGAGUGAAGAAGGCCUUCGGGUUGUAAAGCUCUUUUGUCAGGGAAGAAACGGUUGAGGCUAAUAUCCUCGGCUAAUGACGGUACCUGAAGAAUAAGCACCGGCUAACUACGUGCCAGCAGCCGCGGUAAUACGUAGGGUGCAAGCGUUAAUCGGAAUUACUGGGCGUAAAGCGUGCGCAGGCGGUUUUGUAAGUCUGUCGUGAAAGCCCCGGGCUCAACCUGGGAAUUGCGAUGGAGACUGCAAGGCUUGAAUCUGGCAGAGGGGGGUAGAAUUCCACGUGUAGCAGUGAAAUGCGUAGAGAUGUGGAGGAACACCGAUGGCGAAGGCAGCCCCCUGGGUCAAGAUUGACGCUCAUGCACGAAAGCGUGGGGAGCAAACAGGAUUAGAUACCCUGGUAGUCCACGCCCUAAACGAUGUCUACUAGUUGUCGGGUUUUAAUUAACUUGGUAACGCAGCUAACGCGUGAGGUAGACCGCCUGGGGAGUACGGUCGCAAGAUUAAAACUCAAAGGAAUUGACGGA